This is a long non-coding RNA of Marmota monax (woodchuck), 2875 nucleotides long. RefSeq lists it as uncharacterized. The record is from RefSeq and is a predicted model, not a curated record. Lineage: Eukaryota; Metazoa; Chordata; Mammalia; Rodentia; Sciuridae. The transcript has 2 exons.
AGACAGGUGUGAGCUUCCCACGUGGUGAUCAGCUCGCACCUGUCUUGUGUCCUUUCUAUUCAUAGACUGUCAGAAUGUCACAGCCGGAGGAGACCUGAGGGACCUUCUCAUUCAACCCCUCUGUUAGAUAGAUAAGAAAUGGGAGCCCAGGACUUCAUGGGGUCUUAGAUUAGCCUAAGUUCAUGCAUGGAGGAGCAGAACAGCCAAAGCCCAAUUCUUCAAAUUCCCAGCCUCCACUCCUGCCUGGGCAGCGGACAGACUCCGCCAGCUGACCUGGAGGCUUCCGUUUGACCUCUGACCAAGCAACACCAUAUGGACAAGUUCCCAAGCAGAGAAGGAAAGGAUGCAACCGAAGGCGUGGCGGACAUUAGCAUAGCCUGGUGAUGGAAGCAGAAAUGGUCCUCGGGUUGGCUUCCCCAACCUGGAGACUUCAAAGGGGAGCGAGUCCUGUUCUGUAGCAGUCAUCAGAGGAGCAAACCAAGAAUCCAUCAGGCACUAUUUUCUGUUGUAUGUCUCAUUGUGGGCAUUAUGAUUGUUCCAGAAUUCAUGCAAGUAAGGCAUAUAAGGGGAACUCGCACAACACUUAUGAGUGGCAUGCAAUUUAGCAAUCCCAGAUGAGAGUGAUUUGUAGCACAUUCCCUUGGGGGUAUCUCACUUUUGGGCUCCUGUGCCCCUUGAGGGGAAGGACUUCAGCUUCCAUGCCUUGUCAUUUCCUGAGCCAGGGAAAAGCCUGCUCAGAGAACAGGCUGUGCAAGUCCUGACUGAUGAACCGGACCAAGAGGAAAAAUGGUGUGUCCUGGAGAGAGCUCUGCUUGGGGCCAGAGCAGCUGCUGGUGCACCGCCUACAUGUCCUGCUGGUGGAGUCCUUUUUUUUUUUUUAGAUGAUAUAAGACCUUUGCUUCUCCUUUCUGUGCCUAUAGCUAAGCUAUGUGCUUGCUUGUUAGCACCUCUAAGGCAAAGAGGGGGAAGUGAAACUCAAAUCCCUCCCAUUUGGUUUUUUAGCAGCGUUGACAAAUGUUUUGAUAGGGUAGGAGUUUGUACUUCUUGGGUAACAAUGAUAUUUUGGUCAGAUUUGUGGAUUCUACUAGUAUAGAUAACUGAGAGAAGGAUGAGAACAUACCCUCAUUUUGGGUCAAAGAGAUGUCAGUCUUUUACUCCCAAGUAGGAAGGGCUAGUGGGUAAAACAGAUCAGAUCCCACUUUAAGAGGCAGUUUGGCAUGGUUAAACUAUUCAACCCAUGACAGAAAAAGAGCAGCCCACAUUUUUGUAGUUAAAACCCAAACCUCUUUGGUAAUUGGUCGGGUCAGGAAAAUAAUCUCCAUGAUUUUCUAAAGAGUCAUUCAUAGCACUCACAGCUUCAGACAAGCCCUAAGGACAGCAACCCCAUGUUGCUAGUUUUCUGCUCUAUUACAGAGAGAAUUGAUCCAGCAGACUCUUGCAUGAUAAAAAUUCACAAAAUUACCUCAGCCUAUAAUAGAGUAAAAUUUCAAACCUCACAAGUGUUGGAAGUUGACUUGGUUGGGGGAGCAUUUUCUAUAAAUCAACACAUUUUUUAUUACUUCAGAAGAAGCAAUAAACUAAGGGACCUCUUCCUGAAUGUUGCCCUCUUGGGGUGAAUGAUUCAGAUCACACCUAAUAAAAUGGCCAAUAACCCUAAGUGUGGAUCCUUCCCAAAUCAGGCUGGCAAGUGUCCUAUGUCUGCCCUGAUUUCUGCUGGAGACAAUUAGAAGGCACAAAAAAAUCUUGAAGGAUUUGAAAUAACCUUUGUGAUAUUUUAAAAAGUUAAGGUAAUAUUUCUUCUUAAAGUAGGUCUAGGGGAGGAGGAAAGGGUUGGUAUCAUCUUCCAGGUCUUGGCUAUUUCUGGGUUCUCCAAGAUCUUAGGACAUCCUGCUUCAUGAGAGUGUCUGCUGCCACCAGAGGCCUUCAAAUUCAGCUGGACAAUCAGGUUUCACAAGAGGUGGAGAAGAAGCAUGGGAUUUAUUAAGUCAGUAAUUUCAACUAGAUUAGAGGUUUUCAAAGUGUGUUCCCUAGACCAACAGCAUCUCCAUUGCCUUGGAAUGUGUUAGAAAUGCAAAUUCUCAGUCAUCUAGACUCCUGGAUUAAAACACAAAUCUGGAAUGUAGCCCAACCAACCAUGUGGUGGCACAUGCUAGUCAAAUCCCAGUAGUUUGGGAGGCUGAGGCAGGAGGAUUAUGAGUUCAAAGCCAGCCUCAGUAACAGUGAGGCACUAAGUAACUCAGUGAGACCCUGUCUCUAAAUAAAAUACAAAACAGGGCUGGGAUGUGGGUCAGUGGUCGAGUUCAAUCCCUGGUACAGAAAAAAAAAAUCUGGAAAGUAAUCCAGUAAUGUAUACAUUAAAACCCUUCAGGUUAUACAGGUGCUUGCUGAACUUUGGGAAUCAGUGGACUGAAUAACUGCAGGUACUUUCAGCUUAGAGGUUCUACUGUCAUCCAACUCUGGGAAGAGAUUCUAUAUUUGAGACUCAAACUAUGCCACCUAACUGGGAUGGUGAAGAGAUAAUAGUGAAGAGAUAAUCUUACAGUACUGCAAUUGUAAGACAAAUUGUCUUAAUAAAUAUAUACUUUAUGUCCAUAUAUUUCUAUGUAUAAACAGAUUUUUUAAAGACUUUAGGAAAUAUGGAAAAAGUUUAAAAAUCAGAGGUAAUAAUUAUUAACUUCUUUGUAUAUUGCUUUUAGUUUCUAUGCCUAUGUGUUUUUAAUAAAACUGAAAUCAGUUUCUUAAUUGUAUUUUUAUUUAACGUUAUUUUGUAAGCAUUUCCAAUAUCAGUGGAUAUUUAAUUUUAAAGAUUUUAUUCAUACUUUAUGUAUAUAUGUAUUUUUGUGGUGCUAGAGAAUAAACCCAGGGCUUUCAUAUA